Molecule: long non-coding RNA, 836 nt
Organism: Manis javanica (Malayan pangolin)
Lineage: Eukaryota; Metazoa; Chordata; Mammalia; Pholidota; Manidae
Source: RefSeq, a predicted model, not a curated record
UGCCCAGUGUGUGAGGUGUGGUGCUCCUUCGUGUACCUUCCUGUACUGCAGAAGCCAGAAGGCAAAAACCUGCACUUCCCAGAAUCCAUUGCAGCCAGAAUGUGACUUCACAUUGGCCAAUCUGAUCCAGGCAAGAUUUGGAAUACGGAAGUGAAGUGGAGACCUCAGUUCUGCUGCUGCCUAUGAAAUUUUUCGCUGGAAUGUUCAGUUCCAAAAUAGACUACCUGCACCCAAGUCCUUCUCUCAGGCAUUGCUUUCAAGGAAACGCAAACUGUGACAGUGUGGUUCCAUUUGUGUGCAGUUCAAAAACAGGUCUGGUGACUCAGCUUUUUGCCAUAAUUUUGGCUACUCUAAUGUUGGCCCUGAUCAUCAUCAGAAUCCUAGAAGUUUCAAAUCCUGCUUCAAGAAAAAUUUGGAUACACUGGGGAAAACUAACAGCCUUUCAUGGUCAUAAGAGUUUACUCCCUUCAGAAUGCCAGCAAUUGCUAUGAGAGUGAACGCAAGAGCUCCCAAACAUUUCUUAUGCUCAGGGGCAAGAUGCCCUCCUACAUCCCCAAAACCUAAGGUGAAACACACAAAUCAGCUGGCAAGCUGUCCUGAGCUCCAUCUGGUGGAAAAAUGUUCCUGCCAUCCUGAGCAGUGCACGGCAGGGGGGAGGCAGCAGCUGACCCUCUGGGUGACCUGUUAUGACAACCUGACAGCAGACCGGCUGGACUCUCCAGACUGUCACCAAAUAUGUCAUGGAAUGCCUCUCAGGCUCAAUAAUUUAAUUUUCUUUACAUAAAAUAAAGAGUUGGAUUGUGGUUCUCUUUCUCUCCCCCCAUGCACCAUUUACU